This 464-nucleotide ribosomal RNA is filed under the name Vreelandella stevensii. RNAcentral's name for it is "partial 16S ribosomal RNA". It matches the Rfam family "Bacterial small subunit ribosomal RNA", at positions 338 to 795 of the family's 1533-position model. The record is from RNAcentral. Lineage: Bacteria; Pseudomonadati; Pseudomonadota; Gammaproteobacteria; Oceanospirillales; Halomonadaceae.
CCUAGGGGGGCUGCAGUGGGGAAUAUUGGACAAUGGGCGAAAGCCUGAUCCAGCCAUGCCGCGUGUGUGAAGAAGGCCUUCGGGUUGUAAAGCACUUUCAGUGGGGAAGAAAGCCUUGGGGCUAAUACCCUCGAGGAAGGACAUCACCCACAGAAGAAGCACCGGCUAACUCCGUGCCAGCAGCCGCGGUAAUACGGAGGGUGCGAGCGUUAAUCGGAAUUACUGGGCGUAAAGCGCGCGUAGGCGGUCUGAUAAGCCGGUUGUGAAAGCCCCGGGCUCAACCUGGGAACGGCAUCCGGAACUGUCAGGCUAGAGUGCAGGAGAGGAAGGUAGAAUUCCCGGUGUAGCGGUGAAAUGCGUAGAGAUCGGGAGGAAUACCAGUGGCGAAGGCGGCCUUCUGGACUGACACUGACGCUGAGGUGCGAAAGCGUGGGUAGCAAACAGGAUUAGAUACCCCGGUAGUC